UAGUAACUUACACCCUAAUGCCCAAAUG
Molecule: small RNA, 28 nt
Filed under: Bombyx mori (domestic silkworm)
Lineage: Eukaryota; Metazoa; Arthropoda; Insecta; Lepidoptera; Bombycidae
Description: ovarian small RNA-22845
Source: RNAcentral